RNAcentral lists this ribosomal RNA (290 nucleotides) under Actinomycetota bacterium. RNAcentral describes it as "partial 23S ribosomal RNA". It matches the Rfam family "Bacterial large subunit ribosomal RNA", at positions 2638 to 2925 of the family's 2925-position model. Lineage: Bacteria; Bacillati; Actinomycetota. The record is from RNAcentral.
CUAUCCUCCGCAGCCGAAGGAGUGUUGAGGAAGGCUGUCCCUAGUACGAGAGGACCGGGACGGACGUAGCUCUGGUGUGUCUGUUGUCCUGCCAAGGGCAUUGCAGAUUAGCCACCUACGGAAAGGAUAACCGCUGAAAGCAUCUAAGUGGGAAACCUGUUCCAAGAUGAGCGCUCCCUUACGGUUAACGUAGUAAGGCCCGUGACGAGACCAUCACGUUGAUAGGCCAGAGGUGUACGCACGGCAACGUGUUGAGCCGACUGGUACUAAUCGGCCGAGGGCUUGGAUUG